UGUUGGAGCCGUCUGCAAAGUGUCCCCGGCAAGAAGAGGCUGCCUACCACAAGAACUUUAGCUUACUUUUUAAAGAUUGAAGAAAAAAAAAGAAGACAGAAAAAGAAGAACUCAAAGAUACACAAAGUAAUUUGACCAAGGCUCAGAAGUUUUUGGAGCCGUGAGGGAUACAGCAGUUUGGUCAAUAUUGUCUUAACAUGCUUCAAAUAAAUCAGCUUCUCUCCAAGAUAAAAUGGCAAACCCAAAAGAGAAAACUGCAAUGUGUCUGGUAAAUGAGUUAGCCCGUUUCAAUAGAGUCCAACCCCAGUAUAAACUUCUGAAUGAAAGAGGGCCUGCUCAUUCAAAGAUGUUCUCAGUGCAGCUGAGUCUUGGUGAGCAGACAUGGGAAUCCGAAGGCAGCAGUAUAAAGAAGGCUCAACAGGCUGUUGCCAAUAAAGCUUUGACUGAAUCUACACUUCCCAAACCAGUUCAGAAGCCACCCAAAAGUAAUGUUAACAAUAACCCAGGCAGUAUAACUCCAACUGUGGAACUGAAUGGGCUUGCUAUGAAAAGGGGAGAGCCUGCCAUCUACAGGCCAUUAGAUCCAAAGCCAUUCCCAAAUUAUAGAGCUAAUUACAACUUUCGGGGCAUGUACAAUCAGAGAUGAAGAUUUACCUAAGUCAGUGUUAUAAGAUGUUCCAUGGUAAAAGGGAUUUGGAGACAAAUUUUGGAAAUGCUGCAUACUGUAUCUCUCUUGAAGAUUCCUACAGGUGUCAUGAAGAAAACUGUUUACCUAAGUGGUUCUUAACAUUAACUGAACAUCAGGCUUUCCUGGGCAGUUUUAAAAAUUCCGAUGCCCAGGCUUUAUUUCGAUUAAUUAAAUCAGAAUUUCUGGUUGCAGAGCUUGAACCCCAGUGUUUUUUAAAACUUCCCCAGGUAAUUCUAUGUCCAGUCAUUUAAAUACUGGUCCCCACAACCCAAAACACAUUACCCUCUAUUAACAUCAAAGAUUAUGAGAUGGUUUGAAUAGUCAUAGAACUUUUGAAAGAAGUAAAGAAGAAG
RNAcentral lists this small RNA (1041 nucleotides) under Pongo abelii (Sumatran orangutan). Its description in RNAcentral is "processed transcript". Lineage: Eukaryota; Metazoa; Chordata; Mammalia; Primates; Hominidae. The record is from RNAcentral.